AUCUUACUGCGCAUGUGCAGAGAUGACUCAGUAGUACAGCUCCAAAACAAACCGAACGGCGCCGAGUACAAGAAACGACGGUGAGGUGAAGUUAUUCCAGCGGGGCCGAAGGACGGAGCAAGCGGGAGGAAAAUGAGAAAGGUUGUGGCAAGACUACUAAACGUGACGAUCUUUUUAAAGGCGGCCAUUACUGAUGACAACACGACGAACCAGCAGUUACACGGAGGCGCUCCUUCCGUUAGCACUAGCCAUGCUAACAGCCAGGAGCUGCCCGGGUGACGGCAGCGGGGGAGGAGGAUGCUUCAGACGGAGGUGAUCCAGAAAGAGCCGCGCCACCUCUCCAGCACCCAGAACAACCUCGGGAGCCGUCGAGCUUCAGACGAGCUUCCUUCCCAAAGGUGGCCGAGGUCAAGUCCUGGACUUCCCAGCUACCGCUCCGAAGGAUGCUGACUGUCAGGCCUGUAGCCCACAGGAGGAUACAGGUGUCUUCACCCUCCUGCAGGAAGAAGGACGAGAGAUGAGAGAUCAAGAAAACAAGACUGAAAGAAUAAAGCUGUUGUUGCAUAUUUUUCUUAUUGUUACCAAAUUCCAUAAUAACACCAAAAACCUGUGAAAUGCCAGGGGCGACAUGCUGACCUCCCCCAGUCGGUACCAUCACAACAAUGGUUGGUGAUUCUACAAGAUUAAGAUUAAAUAUUGGAUUAUUUUUUGUUUGAUACUUUAACGCUGGACCAAAAAAAGUUAAAUCAUUGCUGAUGGAAGCUGAACACCAUGUCAUCACGUGUCAGUCGGUCUCUUUAGUUUUACUUCAGCAACGUCUUCUCAACACUGCAAAUAAAAGUGUUCGAUAAAAUACA
Acanthopagrus latus (yellowfin seabream) is the source of this 857-nucleotide long non-coding RNA. RefSeq lists it as uncharacterized. The transcript is spliced from 2 exons. Lineage: Eukaryota; Metazoa; Chordata; Actinopteri; Spariformes; Sparidae. The record is from RefSeq and is a predicted model, not a curated record.